RNAcentral lists this long non-coding RNA (533 nucleotides) under Homo sapiens (human). Its description in RNAcentral is "non-protein coding lnc-SGCG-7:1". The record is from RNAcentral. Lineage: Eukaryota; Metazoa; Chordata; Mammalia; Primates; Hominidae.
UUUUUUCUUAACUGAACAGGAAAACUUAUGAAAAUCAACAAUAAAUCUGAAUUUUAAUUUUCAUUCAACAGCUGAAAAACCAUGUCUGUUGACCACAUUGGACUAUUGCCUAGUUAAAAUCCAUAAAAUUCUCUAUAAACCAAUGAAAAGAAAGUAGUCUGGCAAUAAUUUCCAACUUUUUAAAUCCUAAUUUUUAGUUACAAAGAAAAAGGAUAGAACGAGGCUUUUCAAGGAAUUCUUGCUCAUCCCUUCAAUAAUUUGGUAGGCAACACAGUCCUAGAAUUCAGCUUCCUUUUUGGUUUUAUUACUAUUAAAUAGAUACUUUCAUAUAAAUGGAAACAUUUUUCCUCAAAACAUCAAUUCAAAACAUACUCCUUAUAUUAAUGGCUAUGGCACCACAUUUUUGGUAAAUUCCCUAUGUGUAACUUUUUCCUGUUGGUAUGUGAUUUUUUUCAUUUAAUAUGACUAUCUGCUGGUGUUGGGGGCAAUAGGUUUGUGAAUAUUCUGUGGAUAUGUCCAUGCAUAGGUGUAUA